UCCUGGAAAUGCCGGCCUCCCAGGGGCUCCUUGCUAUAUGUUCUCUGGAGUUGCUAAGUGUGUAAUGUUUUUUGUAAGUGCUCCUCUGGGGUAGGAAGUUGGACACAGAGAAGUAAAGCAGCCCAAUUCUCUUUCAAAUGGCUUUUCUGCAACCCUCACUGGCUCUAGAAUCCAAUCCCAGGGACACUUCCUCUUUUGAGACACUGCAAGUCCUUCAUAGAUUUUUUUGUUUUGUUUUGUUUUGUUGUUUUUUGGAAACGGAAUCUUGCUCUGUUGCCCAGGCUGGAGUGCAGUGGCACGAUCUCGGCUCACUGCAAUCUCUGCUUCCCAGAGAUGGGGUUUCACCGUGUGAGCCAGGAUGGUCUCGCUCUCCUGACCUCUUGAUCCACCUGCCUUGGCCUCCCCAUCAUAGCUUUUUAUGAGCAGAGACAAUCCAACUUGAAUACAUGAAGAAUAACAUCUUUAGCACCCCAGAGUUCUAGAGGCUUGAAAAUAGAGAUCAAGACAUUGGCAGAUUCCGUGUCUGUUGAGAGUCUGCUUCUCAGUUCAAAGAUGGCUUUCUCCUCGUUACAGCCGCAUGUGGUAGAAGGAGAGAGGGAACUCUCUAAG
RNAcentral lists this long non-coding RNA (609 nucleotides) under Papio anubis (olive baboon). RNAcentral describes it as "lncRNA (ENSPANG00000048017.1)". The record is from RNAcentral. Lineage: Eukaryota; Metazoa; Chordata; Mammalia; Primates; Cercopithecidae.